UAUUAUUUGUUAUUAUAUGAAUAUUAGUAUAACUUUUGACUUUGGAUAUACAGGUAUUGUUGUAUACUUUGUAUUAUUAUUUUUAACAUCUUGAUUACUUUUUAAUAUUAUAAUGCAUUUUGUAUUACUUUUAAUUGGGCAGCAUCCAUCAUACAUGGAUUGCUUUUAAAACUAUAUUAAUUUUGGGAUUCGUAUUUUCUAUAUUUGAAGCUGAUUUUAAUACUUACUAAUCUGUCUGCAAGUAAUGAGUUGUAUUCUCAUUUCCUAUAUUCUUUGAAUAAAUUUGCAUACUAAAAUACCACCCCACCGUCUGACCAGAAUUGAAGUCUCAUUUUUUGCAUCAGUUUUGGAGGCACCCGCUGGAGAUCGUUGAAGUUUUCAUUUCAUUAAGUUUUGAUGCAACGCAAGACAAAAUAAAGAGAGGUAUGAGUGCAUGCUGAUACGGACCUAUCCUGCGUACAUUUACCACACGACUGGUUCUAAGGGUGACCCUUUGGUGUGACUUCUGCAACAGUGCAGCGCAUUGACGAUUCGGGAGUGGUUGCUGUGCUCGUAGCUGGACAUCAGUGUUUGAUCCCAAGAACUGGACGCAUCGUCAUCACAUCGCACGCUAACUCUACAUCAUCUGAGAGACUUGUGCUUUAAUCUACCAGCUGAUAUAUAGAUUUACAAAUCCCUACAUCAAGAUGCCUCACAAGAUUAUUGAUCAAAAAGAUUCUUUUACUCCUAUUGCUAUCAGCAAUGAUGAAGAAAUGUAUGAAUUAGAGGUGAAGGGUAAGGAAAGAUACAAGAUGUUGAAAAAGAUCAACGAAAGUUUGGAAAUUUGCGACAUGAUACCCCAAUCUGAUAAGGACAAAUAUCUUAAGAAGCUACCCAUUAAGAAGAGAAAGUAUGAUGAUAAGUUUAGAGAUGGAAAGAAGGGUAUGCUGUAGUAAGUCCUCGACCCAGCAAAAGUCCAGGUGAGGUCAGGGGUCGGAUGCUUUUAGUGCUCCUCGUCUGAUCAGCUUGGUGAAGAAUUCCUGUCAACUUUAACGCGGCUGGGGUUAAAGAGGUAUCUACAGUCUACCUGAAAAGAUUCAUUCACUUUUAUAUUUCCUUUAUGCUUACACGAUUAAGUGCUUAUCUGAAAUGUUUUACUUACUUAUUUUUCUGCAUAUGUAUUUGUUACCUUUGACUAUUAUAUAUCUUAUUUUCAAGGGAAAGGAUUUUGGGUGCGAGUCUUUUUGUCAAGACUCGAGUGGGGGACUGAUGUAACCCAAAUUUUGACUUCUGUCAUGUGUGCAUUUGCUACGUGCUUAAAAGUACAGGACAGUCUGUUCCGAAGGCCUCAGCUGAACUUUAGACUUUAGAAGACUUCUGUAUUAAUAUAGAAAUAGAAAAACAAAAAGAUGUAGAUUUCCAUCUAGUCUCACAGAACGUUUAUGUUUUGCGCUUAUGACGCUGUUUGUCUGAGUUUUGGCUUCACACGUCUGUAUUUUGAGUUAUUUUUGAUCCUUGUGGGUUUUUGAUAAGGGAGACAAUACAGCCUGAGGUCUAUACAAUACAAUAUCUCCUGAGGUCUUUGCAACCCUGCAUUUAGCUGAGCAACACCCAAAGGCAACAACUAUCUGUUGAUCUUCUAAAAUGUGGAAGUUAAACUGGACUGCAAGGCUCAUCUGGUAUCUUUAUAUGGACCAGAGGCAUAUGACCAAUGUCUUUCUAUCUAUUUGAGACAUGACUUCAUUUCUGGAUCACGAGACUCUUUGCUUGAAGAGACUACAUAAGGAGGUGCAAACCCCUCCUUCCUCUCUCUCUCAGACUGAGUUCAGCAUAGACCCUUCUAGCUGGACUUAGUCUUUUCUCACCUUCUUUAUCUUUGAUUCCGGGCUCACUUGAAUACUUUCAACUUCUCUCAGGUUUUAUUCAUCUCAGAUAUGAUUAUUAUUAUAUUAUUUGUUAUUAUAUGAAUAUUAGUAUAACUUUUGACUUUGGAUAUACAGGUAUUGUUGUAUACUUUGUAUUAUUAUUUUUAACAUCUUGAUUACUUUUUAAUAUUAUAAUGCAUUUUGUAUUACUUUUAAUUGGGCAGCAUCCAUCAUACAUGGAUUGCUUUUAAAACUAUAUUAAUUUUGGGAUUCGUAUUUUCUAUAUUUGAAGCUGAUUUUAAUACUUACUAAUCUGUCUGCAAGUAAUGAGUUGUAUUCUCAUUUCCUAUAUUCUUUGAAUAAAUUUGCAUACUAAAAUACCA
Long non-coding RNA from Carassius gibelio (silver crucian carp), 2227 nucleotides. RefSeq lists it as uncharacterized. The transcript is spliced from 2 exons. NCBI's taxonomy places the organism in Eukaryota, Metazoa, Chordata, Actinopteri, Cypriniformes, Cyprinidae. The record is from RefSeq and is a predicted model, not a curated record.